Molecule: ribosomal RNA, 774 nt
Filed under: uncultured Neocallimastigales
Lineage: Eukaryota; Fungi; Neocallimastigomycota; Neocallimastigomycetes; Neocallimastigales
Description: partial large subunit ribosomal RNA
Rfam family: Eukaryotic large subunit ribosomal RNA
Source: RNAcentral
GUAGUCUCGCACAGAUGCAUAUCAAUAAGCGGAGGAAAAGAAACUAACAAGGAUUCCCCUAGUAACGGCGAGUGAAGCGGGAAGAGCUCAAAUUUGAAGUCUUAAAGGGUUUCCCUUUACGAAUUGUAGUUUAAAGAAGUGUUUUCUGUUGAGGUUUUGGUAAAAGUUCUUUGGAAUAGGACAUCAUAGAGGGUGAGAAUCCCGUAUUUGACCUUUACUUUCAACUUUGUGAUACACUUUCAAAGAGUCGGAUUGUUUGGGAAUGCAGUCCAAAAUGGGUGGUAAAUUUCAUCUAAAGCUAAAUAUUGGCGAGAGACCGAUAGCGAACAAGUACCGUGAGGGAAAGAUGAAAAGAACUUUGAAAAGAGAGUUAAACAGUACGUGAAAUUGUCAAAAGGGAAGCGUUUGACACCAGUGUUGUUUUUCUGAAAAUCAAUUAAAGAACUGUUUAUGCUAAGCUGUUUAGACUUUAUCAGCUAUCUGUUUAGUUUUGAGCUUUUCUUUAAUGCACUUUUCAGUUAACAAGUCAACAUCAAUUUCUUUUGCUGUAAAAAAGCUUGAGGAAGGUGGCUUGAGAUUCGUCUUAAGUGUUUAUAGCCUCUUGCCUAUGCAGUCGGAGAGAUUGAGGUCUGCAGCGUAGAUCCUUCGGGGCUAAAUGCAUUUGUGCUAAGUUAUAGCAUUUUAUAGACAACUUGUUGACUAUGAUUUGUCUUGUAGCUUACUCGCUUAUGUUAUUUUACCUACGCUUAGGAUGUUGAACUACUGAGACAUAGA